This 468-nucleotide ribosomal RNA is filed under the name uncultured bacterium. RNAcentral's name for it is "partial 16S ribosomal RNA". It matches the Rfam family "Bacterial small subunit ribosomal RNA", at positions 28 to 507 of the family's 1533-position model. The record is from RNAcentral.
GACGAACGCUGGCGGCGCGCCUAACACAUACAAGUCGAACGGAGCUGCGAGAAGCUUGCUUUUCUUAGCUUAGUGGCGAACGGGUGAGUAACGCGUGAGUAACCUGCCCUGGAGUGGGGGACAACAGUUGGAAACGACUGCUAAUACCGCAUAAGCCCACGAUCCGGCAUCGGAUUGAGGGAAAAGGAUUUAUUCGCUUCAGGAUGGACUCGCGUCCAAUUAGCUAGUUGGUGAGGUAACGGCCCACCAAGGCGACGAUUGGUAGCCGGACUGAGAGGUUGAACGGCCACAUUGGGACUGAGACACGGCCCAGACUCCUACGGGAGGCAGCAGUGGGGGAUAUUGCACAAUGGGGGAAACCCUGAUGCAGCGACGCCGCGUGGAGGAAGAAGGUUUUCGGAUUGUAAACUCCUGUCGUUAGGGACGAUAAUGACGGUACCUAACAAGAAAGCACCGGCUAACUACGUG